GGCCCCUUGGCGGAACCGGUAGACGCAGCAGACUUAAAAUCUGCGACCCGUAAGGGUGUGGGAGUUCGAGUCUCCCAGGGGCCACCA
Molecule: transfer RNA, 87 nt
Filed under: Limibacillus halophilus
Lineage: Bacteria; Pseudomonadati; Pseudomonadota; Alphaproteobacteria; Rhodospirillales; Rhodovibrionaceae
Also listed under: 1 other name
Description: tRNA-Leu
Rfam family: tRNA
About the family: Transfer RNA (tRNA) molecules are approximately 80 nucleotides in length. Their secondary structure includes four short double-helical elements and three loops (D, anti-codon, and T loops).
Source: RNAcentral